Oncorhynchus gorbuscha (pink salmon) is the source of this 350-nucleotide long non-coding RNA. RefSeq lists it as uncharacterized. The transcript has 3 exons. NCBI's taxonomy places the organism in Eukaryota, Metazoa, Chordata, Actinopteri, Salmoniformes, Salmonidae. The record is from RefSeq and is a predicted model, not a curated record.
GUAUGUGGUAGCAGAGCGUAACUUCGUGACAGACGAGCGUCCUCUGCUCGCUUUCCAUAAAGGUGACAUCAUCAGGCUGCAAGUCACGGAAGGACUGGAAAAGGGAUACAGCUACGGCUCUGUUGUGAGGAAGAAGGUGAUGUUUCUGGAGGAGAUGAAGAGAGACACGCCAGACUUUGGUUGGAAGUUUGGAGGGGUGUUUGGUCGUGCAGGGGCGUUCCCGACAGAUUGUGUCCGUCCCGUCGCCGCCCCAGACUUCCUGUCCAUCCCGGUUGACCGCAGGGCGGAGCUUAAAGGAGGAGCAGGGCGGGUUGCCGUGACAUCAGCUAUGGCUGUGGCCGUGGCGUCCA